RNAcentral lists this ribosomal RNA (468 nucleotides) under uncultured bacterium. RNAcentral's name for it is "partial 16S ribosomal RNA". It matches the Rfam family "Bacterial small subunit ribosomal RNA", at positions 28 to 507 of the family's 1533-position model. The record is from RNAcentral.
GACGAACGCUGGCGGCGUGCUUAACACAUGCAAUUCGAACGGAAAGGCCCUGCUUUUGUGGGGUUCUCGUGUGUCUAACGGGUGUGUAACACGUGAGUAUCCCGCCCUUGACUUUGGGAUAACUUCAGGAAACUGGGGCUAAUACCGGAUAGGAGCUCCUGCUUCAUGGUGGGGGCUGGAUAGUUUCGUCGGUUGGGGAUGGACUCGCGGCUUAUCAGCUUGUUGGUGGGGUAGUGGCUUACCAAGGCUUUGACGGGUAGCCGGCCUGAGAGGGUGACCGGCCACAUUGGGACUGAGAUACGGCCCAGACUCCUACGGGAGGCAGCAGUGGGGAAUAUUGCACAAUGGGCGGAAGCCUGAUGCAGCAACGCCGCGUGCGGGAUGACGGCCUUCGGGUUGUAAACCGCUUUCGCCUGUGACGAAGCGUGAGUGACGGUAAUGGGUAAAGAAGCACCGGCUAACUACGUG